RNAcentral lists this non-coding RNA (146 nucleotides) under Arthrobacter sp. Its description in RNAcentral is "FMN sequence". It matches the Rfam family "FMN riboswitch aptamer (RFN element)". Rfam says of the family: The RFN element is a highly conserved domain that is found frequently in the 5'-untranslated regions of prokaryotic mRNAs that encode for flavin mononucleotide (FMN) biosynthesis and transport proteins. This element is a metabolite-dependent riboswitch that directly binds FMN in the absence of proteins. The record is from RNAcentral. Lineage: Bacteria; Bacillati; Actinomycetota; Actinomycetes; Micrococcales; Micrococcaceae.
UACGUGCUCCGGGGUCGGUGUAAGUCCGAACCGGCGGUGACAGUCCGCGACCCGCGAGCCGGCGUUUUCCCAGGAAAGCCCGGCGGACGGUUGAACCGGUGAAAUUCCGGUACCGACAGUUAAAGUCUGGAUGAGAGAAGCGCGUA